AACCAACAGGGAUUGCCCUAGUAACGGCGAGUGAAGCGGCAAUAGCUCAAAUUUGAAAGCUGGCCUUCUGGUCCGCAUUGUAAUUUGUAGAGGAUGCUUUUAGGCAGCCGCCGGUCUAAGUUCCUUGGAACAGGACGUCAUAGAGGGUGAGAAUCCCGUAUGUGACCGGCUCUGGCACCUUAUGUAAAGCUCCUUCGACGAGUCGAGUUGUUUGGGAAUGCAGCUCUAAAUGGGAGGUAAAUUUCUUCUAAAGCUAAAUACCGGCGAGAGACCGAUAGCGCACAAGUAGAGUGAUCGAAAGAUGAAAAGCACUUUGGAAAGAGAGUUAAAAAGCACGUGAAAUUGUUGAAAGGGAAGCGCUUGCAAUCAGACUUGGACUUGGCUGUUCAACCGGUCUUCUGACCGGCCCACUCAGUCUUGUCCAGGCCAGCAUCAGUUUCGGCGGCCGGAUAAAGGCCUUGGGAAUGUAGCUGUCCCUUCGGGGACAGUGUUAUAGCCCAGGGUGUAAUACGGCCAGCCGGGACUGAGGUCCGCGCUUCGGCUAGGAUGCUGGCGUAAUGGUUGUAAGCGGCCCGUCUUGAAACACGGACCAAGGAGUCUAACAUCUAUGCGAGUGUUAGGGUGUCAAACCCUUACGCGUAAUGAAAGUGAACGGAGGUGGGAACCCGCAAGGGUGCACCAUCGACCGAUCCUGAUGUCUUCGGAUGGAUUUGAGUAAGAGCAUAGCUGUUGGGACCCGAAAGAUGGUGAACUAUGCCUGAAUAGGGUGAAGCCAGAGGAAACUCUGGUGGAGGCUCGCAGCGGUUCUGACGUGCAAAUCGAUCGUCAAAUUUGGGUAUAGGGGCGAAAGACUAAUCGAACCAUCUAGUAGCUGGUUCCUGCCGA
Molecule: ribosomal RNA, 885 nt
Filed under: Dothiora cactacearum
Lineage: Eukaryota; Fungi; Ascomycota; Dothideomycetes; Dothideales; Dothioraceae
Description: eukaryotic LSU rRNA
Rfam family: Eukaryotic large subunit ribosomal RNA
Source: RNAcentral